UGGGGAAUUUUGGACAAUGGGCGAAGCCUGAUCCAGCAAUGCUGCGUGUGUGAAGAAGGCCUUCGGGUUGUAAAGCACUUUUGUCCGGAAAGAAAUCCUUGGCUCUAAUACAGUCGGGGGAUGACGGUACCGGAAGAAUAAGCACCGGCUAACUACGUGCCAGCAGCCGCGGUAAUACGUAGGGUGCAAGCGUUAAUCGGAAUUACUGGGCGUAAAGCGUGCGCAGGCGGUUUGCUAAGACCGAUGUGAAAUCCCCGGGCUCAACCUGGGAACUGCAUUGGUGACUGGCAGGCUAGAGUAUGGCAGAGGGGGGUAGAAUUCCACGUGUAGCAGGUGAAAUGCGUAGAGAUGUGGAGGAAUACCGAUGGCGAAGGCAGCCCCCUGGGCCAAAUACUGACGCUCAUGCACGAAAAGCGUGGGGAGCAAAACAGGAUUAGAUACCCUGGUAGUCCACGCCCUAAAACGAUGUCAACUAGUUGUUGGGGAUUCAUUUCCUUAGUAACGUAGCUAACGCGUGAAGUUGACCGCUGGGGAGUACGGUCGCAAAGAUUAAAACUCAAAAUGAAUUGACGGGGUCAUAGCUGUUUCCUG
Molecule: ribosomal RNA, 591 nt
Filed under: uncultured bacterium
Lineage: Bacteria
Description: partial 16S ribosomal RNA
Rfam family: Bacterial small subunit ribosomal RNA
Source: RNAcentral